AAGGCACAGAACAUAAUCUCAAAGAACUCCCAACAUUAAGGAAUAUACAAAGGAGACUAAGGAACAGAUAAGGGGAAAAAAAUCAGGAGUCAUUCACAGAAGCCACAUGCUAAAGAUGAAGUGGGAAGGAAAAUGCCUAUCAAAUGGAGCAAAAAGAUCAAUAUAAGGGCACAGGUGACAGUCAACAGAGUACAAACGAUGUAAUCUUGAGGUAGAACACCAGAGAAUUUUUAUCUGGAGAAAUAAAUGGGAGACAAUUAAGUGGAAGAAAUAUGGGGAGGGACAGAUACAAGGAAGUAUGUGUGAAGUGGAAAUCAGGAGGUGAGAUGGAGGACAAGGAAGAAGCACAGUUAAAAGCAGCAUGAAGAAGUUAAAACCUGGACUCACUGACGCUGUGUUAAAAUUUAGUGCUAAAUGUAAGCAACAACACUGGAGCAUUGUUAUUUUAUCAAGACACCUGAACAUAGCAAAAUUAAUUUUGUUCAUUUUUAUUAACAUAGGACAUACUAACCAAAUAUUAUCAUUUAAUAAAAUCAACGUUACAAAGAAACUCACUAGCAAAUAAACAAACGAUAUUCACUUGACUCU
RNAcentral lists this long non-coding RNA (588 nucleotides) under Homo sapiens (human). Its description in RNAcentral is "HSALNT0108616". The record is from RNAcentral. Lineage: Eukaryota; Metazoa; Chordata; Mammalia; Primates; Hominidae.